This 75-nucleotide transfer RNA is filed under the name Marinobacter sp. RNAcentral's name for it is "tRNA-Met". It matches the Rfam family "tRNA". From Rfam's summary of the family: Transfer RNA (tRNA) molecules are approximately 80 nucleotides in length. Lineage: Bacteria; Pseudomonadati; Pseudomonadota; Gammaproteobacteria; Pseudomonadales; Marinobacteraceae. The record is from RNAcentral.
CGCAGGAUGGAGCAGCGGCAGCUCGUCGGGUUCAUAGCCCGAAGGUCGCCGGUUCGAGUCCGGCUCCUGCUACCA